GGGCGGGGAUUAGUGGCGAACGGGUGAGUAACACGUGGGCAAUCUGCCCUGCACUCUGGGACAAGCCCUGGAAACGGGGUCUAAUACCGGAUAUGACCGUCUGCCGCAUGGUGGAUGGUGUAAAGCUCCGGCGGUGCAGGAUGAGCCCGCGGCCUAUCAGCUUGUUGGUGAGGUAGUGGCUCACCAAGGCGACGACGGGUAGCCGGCCUGAGAGGGCGACCGGCCACACUGGGACUGAGACACGGCCCAGACUCCUACGGGAGGCAGCAGUGGGGAAUAUUGCACAAUGGGCGAAAGCCUGAUGCAGCGACGCCGCGUGAGGGAUGACGGCCUUCGGGUUGUAAACCUCUUUCAGCAGGGAAGAAGCGAAAGUGACGGUACCUGCAGAAGAAGCGCCGGCUAACUACGUGCCAGCAGCCGCGGUAAUACGUAGGGCGCAAGCGUUGUCCGGAAUUAUUGGGCGUAAAGAGCUCGUAGGCGGCUUGUCACGUCGGUUGUGAAAGCCCGGGGCUUAACCCCGGGUCUGCAGUCGAUACGGGCAGGCUAGAGUUCGGUAGGGGAGAUCGGAAUUCCUGGUGUAGCGGUGAAAUGCGCAGAUAUCAGGAGGAACACCGGUGGCGAAGGCGGAUCUCUGGGCCGAUACUGACGCUGAGGAGCGAAAGCGUGGGGAGCGAACAGGAUUAGAUACCCUGGUAGUCCACGCCGUAAACGGUGGGCACUAGGUGUGGGCAACAUUCCACGUUGUCCGUGCCGCAGCUAACGCAUUAAGUGCCCCGCCUGGGGAGUACGGCCGCAAGGCUAAAACUCAAAGGAAUUGACGGGGGCCCGCACAAGCGGCGGAGCAUGUGGCUUAAUUCGACGCAACGCGAAGAACCUUACCAAGGCUUGACAUACACCGGAAACGUCCAGAGACAGGCGCCCCCUUGUGGUCGGUGUACAGGUGGUGCAUGGCUGUCGUCAGCUCGUGUCGUGAGAUGGUUGGGUUAAGUCCCGCAACGAGCGCAACCCUUGUCCCGUGUUGCCAGCAGGCCCUUGUGGUGCUGGGGACUCACGGGAGACCGCCGGGGUCAACUCGGAGGAAGGUGGGGACGACGUCAAGUCAUCAUGCCCCUUAUGUCUUGGGCUGCACACGUGCUACAAUGGCCGGUACAAUGAGCUGCGAUACCGUGAGGUGGAGCGAAUCUCAAAAAGCCGGUCUCAGUUCGGAUUGGGGUCUGCAACUCGACCCCAUGAAGUCGGAGUCGCUAGUAAUCGCAGAUCAGCAUUGCUGCGGUGAAUACGUUCCCGGGCCUUGUACACACCGCCCGUCACGUCACGAAAGUCGGUAACACCCGAAGCCGG
This 1341-nucleotide ribosomal RNA is filed under the name Streptomyces sp. RNAcentral describes it as "bacterial SSU rRNA". It matches the Rfam family "Bacterial small subunit ribosomal RNA", at positions 83 to 1430 of the family's 1533-position model. The record is from RNAcentral. Lineage: Bacteria; Bacillati; Actinomycetota; Actinomycetes; Kitasatosporales; Streptomycetaceae.